Molecule: ribosomal RNA, 640 nt
Filed under: Sarcophaga princeps
Lineage: Eukaryota; Metazoa; Arthropoda; Insecta; Diptera; Sarcophagidae
Description: partial 28S ribosomal RNA
Rfam family: Eukaryotic large subunit ribosomal RNA
Source: RNAcentral
GUGUAUGGAAUGUCAAAUUUCUAGUAUGAGAAAUUAACGAUUUAAGUCCUUCUUAAAUGAGGCCAUUUACCCAUAGAGGGUGCCAGGCCCGUAUAACGUUAAUGAUUACUAGAUGGCAUUUCCAAAGAGUCGUGUUGCUUGAUAGUGCAGCACUAAGUGGGUGGUAAACUCCAUCUAAAACUAAAUAUAACCAUGAGACCGAUAGUAAACAAGUACCGUGAGGGAAAGUUGAAAAGAACUCUGAAUAGAGAGUUAAAUAGUACGUGAAACUGCUUAGAGGUUAAGCCCGAUGAACCUGAAUAUCCAUUAUAGAAAAUUCAUCAUUAUGAUUUUAAUAUUUAUAAUAUUAUAAUAAUGGUGUGCAUUUUUUCUAUAACGGACAUUGUAAUCUAUUAACAUAAAUAUAUUUAUCAUAAGAUCAAUGAUGCGUAAGUUUAUUCAAAUUAUUUUGCUUGCAAUUUAACAUAGAAUAAAUGCUCUUGAUUUGAUAAAGUGUUGAUAGAUUUAUUGUAUAUAGUGCUUAAAUAUUUAUAUUUUAUAAUAGCAUAUUAAUCAUUGAUUUUUAUGUUUAUUAUAUGCACUUAUAUGAUUAACAAUGCGAAAGAUUCAGGAUACCUUCGGGACCCGUCUUGAAACACGG